UACGUAGGGGGCGAGCGUUGUCCGGAUUCAUUGGGCGUAAAGAGCUCGUAGGCGGUUUGAUAAGUCGGGGGUGAAAUCUCCAGGCUCAACCUGGAGAGGUCACUCGAGACUGUUAUGACUAGAGUCCGGUAGGGGACCACGGAAUUCCUGGUGUAGCGGUGAAAUGCGCAGAUAUCAGGAAGAACACCCGUGGCGAAGGCGGUUCUCUGGGACGGUACUGACGCUGAGACGCGAAAGCGUGGGGAGCGAACAGG
RNAcentral lists this ribosomal RNA (254 nucleotides) under uncultured bacterium. RNAcentral describes it as "partial 16S ribosomal RNA". It matches the Rfam family "Bacterial small subunit ribosomal RNA", at positions 524 to 776 of the family's 1533-position model. The record is from RNAcentral.